CAGCAGCCGCGGGAAUACAGAGGGUGCGAGCGUUAAUCGGAUUUACUGGGCGUAAAGCGUGCGUAGGCGGCUUCUUAAGUCGGAUGUGAAAUCCCUGAGCUUAACUUAGGAAUUGCAUUCGAUACUGGGAAGCUAGAGUAUGGGAGAGGAUGGUAGAAUUCCAGGUGUAGCGGUGAAAUGCGUAGAGAUCUGGAGGAAUACCGAUGGCGAAGGCAGCCAUAUGGCCUAAUACUGACGCUGAGGUACGAAAGCAUGGGGAGCAAACAGGAUUAGAUACCCGAGUAGUCCCUGUCUCUUAUAC
This 301-nucleotide ribosomal RNA is filed under the name uncultured bacterium. Its description in RNAcentral is "partial 16S ribosomal RNA". It matches the Rfam family "Bacterial small subunit ribosomal RNA", at positions 509 to 807 of the family's 1533-position model. The record is from RNAcentral.